UUAGCCAAGGGUGGGGAACCUCCCAUAAACCUUUGGAUCGGAGCUUCAACUCCGCUUUAUGGACCCGGUCCAAGAAAUCCACAUACGGCAGAUCAGUUGUAAAGACGGAUGCCGGUAUGAAAUUUAAUUUCUUCAACAACGACUCUACUUCCUGCAUUUCAGUCAUCAACCAAAGCUUCGAGUUUAAAACAUUAAAAGAUAUAACCAAAGUACCAAAAAACAAGAAAACCUUCCCCAAAGAGGAGUACAAAAAAGAAAAAGGCUGCUACCAAACCAAAACAGUUGCUUUUGUCAGGAUAAGUUUAACUGCAAUCAAUUAAUAUUCAAUUAUCUCCGGAGAAAGAGAUUAAUUAGGUGGAGAAUAAUUUGUUGAGUCAUAGACUGGAAGGCUCAGCUUUAUUAAUAUCUAAAACUGUAAUAUUAUACAAUUAUAAAGUAAUGUUCAUCAAUCUUAGGAUUAGAUUACACAAGAUCUUGCAUAUGUAUUGCAUUAUUAUUAUUUGGUUACAGUAUUAUAUUAUUUUUUAAGUAGUCUUCAUAAAAUAUUUACUGCCAGAGAUAGAUAGUGUGUAUUUAAUAAUCUCCUCGAUCACAUAAAUCUAGGACAAGGAGGUCAACACCUGAGUUGAUUUACAAAAUCCAUUCACUUUGGAUUCUAUAAGAAAGUAAUCCAUAUAAAUUAAUGAGAGCUGUGUCUGUGUGCAGUAUGUACAUAUAUGUACCUGGUCGACGGUAGAAGCAGUAGAUUCAUGGUAGUUCUUGGCGAUCUCCAAGCAAUACAAAACGCCUCCAUUAGGAUCAAGAGAAGAAAUUUUGACAGGGUUGUG
RNAcentral lists this long non-coding RNA (827 nucleotides) under Gossypium barbadense (sea-island cotton). RNAcentral's name for it is "long non-coding RNA (GBAR_LNC003852)". Lineage: Eukaryota; Viridiplantae; Streptophyta; Magnoliopsida; Malvales; Malvaceae. The record is from RNAcentral.